Long non-coding RNA from Peromyscus eremicus (cactus mouse), 991 nucleotides. RefSeq lists it as uncharacterized. Lineage: Eukaryota; Metazoa; Chordata; Mammalia; Rodentia; Cricetidae. The record is from RefSeq and is a predicted model, not a curated record. The transcript has 3 exons.
CAAACUGUAAUACCCUGUUUUCUGCACUUGGGGACACUAGCAUGAGGAAAUGGUACAGCUAUUUGUUAUUAAGCAACAUACCCAAGAACAUAGUCCAAGAAUGGAGUUGUGGGAGAAUUCUGAGUGCUUGUGAGAAAACUCCAAGAGAAUAAGACAAGAGUCUUGUGACCUCAGUUUCUUCAGAACACAGAACAGUUCUUGGAAUGUGUUUUCGUGCCUUUCCCAGGUGUAGCGGAUUGGAGCGAGUUUUCUUCAGCUGUAGUUAUUCAUGUGCCUCUAUGGAGAAACAUGUUUUUGCCACAUGCGGCUCAUUGUUGUGAUUGUGUACUCCACUCAUGUGAUUCUUUUUAAUCCCCACAGUAUAAAUUGCCUGAUGCUCUGAAUAAAGUUAACUAUUGCAUGAGACUUUAGUCCACCUCAUUUUUAGGCCCUGCUCUCCCAGGUUCACACUGCCAACGAGAGCGGUAAACAAGUGGCACCACAAAUCAGGGACCUGAAGUCCGCUAUAAGAGAGUGCGGGCCCUCACAGAAAGGAAAAAUCAAAAGUCCAAACAGCACCACUGACAACUGGGACAGUGACACUUGCCUGAGCUCCCUUCCUGGGUCCCUCCUUUAGAUAUGGAUCCUUCAUUGACUGCAAGUGACCCUGAAGCAUGCGCCCCGGACCAUCAAGGACACUGUGGAAGUCACCAGAAAGAUAGCAAACCUCCCUCCAGCUAAACGGCAAAAGGAGAUAUCAAUCAUAUCACCAGAAGUCAAGUCUGCCCACCUGGGGCCAAGUUACAGCUCUAUGCACCAAGGGAGAAGUUAUUUUACUAAUGACUCUGUGUUUCUGACUGGACCUUGAGACCAUAAAAGAUUCAUUCAUCCAUCUGAAGAAGGGACUGCAUUUAAUUUUUCCUUGGUAUUUGAAUCACUUCCUAUUUGCAUAGGCCAUCAUAACACUUGUAUUCCUAUUAAAGGCAAAUAUGGGCUUAUGUUCUACAAGAUA